CUGCUCGACGGACCAACUGUUCGAGAAGUCUCCUAUUAGAGUGUGGUUCGCACCCAAGUCCAGCCAAGUAUCCAACUUGGCGCGCUUAUCCCUUGGGCGCGAUGGAGUCCUGCUUCUUUUAUCCCUCGCUGUCAAGUGAGGCUGUGGAGAGAACUAAAUUAGGGUCUUACCAA
Molecule: long non-coding RNA, 173 nt
Organism: Hermetia illucens (black soldier fly)
Lineage: Eukaryota; Metazoa; Arthropoda; Insecta; Diptera; Stratiomyidae
Exons: 3
Source: RefSeq, a predicted model, not a curated record